RNAcentral lists this long non-coding RNA (687 nucleotides) under Capsicum annuum. RNAcentral's name for it is "long non-coding RNA (CANN_LNC016583)". Lineage: Eukaryota; Viridiplantae; Streptophyta; Magnoliopsida; Solanales; Solanaceae. The record is from RNAcentral.
GAUUAGGUAGUCCUGCAACGCAAUGGAUUUCUGUUUAUAAUGCACGACGUCCCAUGAAGCAGAGGUAAGUUGCUAUAAAUACAAGUGUAAUAAUGACUCUUGGCAUGUAUGUUGCUGAUAUAAUGAGUUUUUAGAUGUCUGGCCAUUAUUAUAACUCUUUAAAGAAGCGUCUCAGUGCUAGACUUUUAUAUUGUCUUGGAUCUCAUCAAAAGUACGUGUGAAACGUACAAGUGUAAUAAUGACUCUUGGCAUGUAUGUUGCUGAUAUAAUGAGUUUUUAGAUGUCUGGCUAUUAUUAUAACUCUUUAAAGAAGCGUCUCAGUGCUAGACUUUUAUAUUGUCUUGGAUCUCAUCAAAAGUACGUGUGAAACCUUAAACCUUCAAAUAAGGUUUUAUAAUGAUUUAUCUAGUUAUGCAUCUAUUUUGCCAUAACAUUGCAGCUCAGAUAUGCUUAUUUGUUGUGUUUCAUUAAUUUGGCUUGUAUUUAAAAAGCCUAUGCUAGUUACCUGGAGUAACUGGUAAAGAUUCUGCCAUGUGAGCAGGAGGUCACGGGUUCAAGCCUUGGAAACUGCCUCUUGCAGAAAUGCAAGUUAAGGCUGUGUACAAAACACACAUGUGGUGGGGCCCUUCCCCGGACCCUACACAUUGCGGGAGCUUUUAGUGCACCGGGCUGCCUUUUCUUUUUAGG